UUUAAGUUGGGGAAGUUUGAC
This 21-nucleotide microRNA is filed under the name Lotus japonicus. RNAcentral's name for it is "lja-miR11122-3p". The record is from miRBase by way of RNAcentral. Lineage: Eukaryota; Viridiplantae; Streptophyta; Magnoliopsida; Fabales; Fabaceae.